GACGAACGCUGGCGGCGUGCUUAACACAUGCAAGUCGAACGGAAAAGCCCUGCUUUUGUGGGGUGCUCGAGUGGCGAACGGGUGAGUAACACGUGAGUAACCUGCCCUUGACUUUGGGAUAACUUCAGGAAACUGGGGCUAAUACCGGAUAGGAGCUCCUGCUGCAUGGUGGGGGUUGGAAAGUUUCGGCGGUUGGGGAUGGACUCGCGGCUUAUCAGCUUGUUGGUGGGGUAGUGGCUUACCAAGGCUUUGACGGGUAGCCGGCCUGAGAGGGUGACCGGACACAUUGGGACUGAGAUACGGCCCAGACUCCUACGGGAGGCAGCAGUGGGGAAUAUUGCACAAUGGGCGGAAGCCUGAUGCAGCAACGCCGCGUGCGGGAUGACGGCCUUCGGGUUGUAAACCGCUUUCGCCUGUGACGAAGCGUGAGUGACGGUAAUGGGUAAAGAAGCACCGGCUAACUACGUG
This 468-nucleotide ribosomal RNA is filed under the name uncultured bacterium. Its description in RNAcentral is "partial 16S ribosomal RNA". It matches the Rfam family "Bacterial small subunit ribosomal RNA", at positions 28 to 507 of the family's 1533-position model. The record is from RNAcentral.